Molecule: long non-coding RNA, 2562 nt
Organism: Carassius auratus (goldfish)
Lineage: Eukaryota; Metazoa; Chordata; Actinopteri; Cypriniformes; Cyprinidae
Exons: 6
Source: RefSeq, a predicted model, not a curated record
AUAGGCUAUGUAUUAAAUGUAAUGCAGUAUGCUAAUGUUUUUUAAGAAGUUAUGACAGUUUAUUUAUUUAUUUUUGCAUUUAUAUUUAUACUAAAUGUUUGGGCUACUGUUUUUGAUAACGCAUACAUAAUAGGUUUGUAGAAAAUCAACAACAACAAAAAAAAAAUCUAUAAAUAUUUUCAUAAUUUUUCAGGAAUUGUUGAUUUCUUUUUCAACACUUGUAAGUCUGAACCAGAAUAUCAAGAUAUUUUAUUAUUUUGUAAAAAAGUACCACCAUGUUAUAUGUAUAAUAAAAUUUGAGUAUGACAAACACAAAUCCCUUCUAUUAUUUUAUCCCUUGAGGUAGCCCUCGCACACAAAAAGGUUGGUUGGAGGAUGGAGACCCCUGGUAUAUAACUAUGUUUUAUAAUUAUAUGUUUGUGUAAUUUGGGGUUUCUUCCUGCAGUGACACUUUUGUGUGUGAGGCCCCAUCCAUCCUCCCCUCAAUACGCUGCAGUCGUCCUGUCCCUUUUGCAGAAAAGCAUCCAUAAAGAAUGAUGUUUCCAGCUCCAUGCUUCACAGUUUGGAUGGUGUUCUUGAGGUUGCACUCAUCCUUAGUCUUCCUCCAAACACAACAAGUAGAGUUUAGACCAAAAAGCUCUAUUUUCAUCUCAUCAGACCACAUGACCUUCUCCCAUGAAUGAGUAUGUGGACAAGUGUCUUUUAUACAGGUAAGGAGUUCAAACAGGUGCAGUUAAUAAAAAGUGGAGAAAAGGAGGGCUUCCUGUGAGAGCUGGAAUUCUUACUGGUUGAUAGGUGAUCAAAUGCUUAUGUCAUAAACAAUAAACUGCAAAAAUAUAUAUUUUUAAAAUAUACAAUGUGAUUUUCUGGAUUGUUAUUUAAGAUUCUGUCAUUAUAGUAGAAGAGUAUACCUAAGAUAAAAAUGACAGGCUCUUACGUGGUUUGUAAGUGGGAACCUGCACAAUCCCCAGUGUAUCAAAUGCUUUUCCUCCUCACUGUAGAUAAAUGAGGGGAACACUUAUUUUAAAAGUGCCAUGUUGACACUGUUUUGGAGUUGCAAGACUGAGUUCAAAUGACUGCAAACAAUCCCAUAUGAUACUUCAUCUGGUGCCCACUCUAAAGCAAAACUAUAUUCUUUCCAGUUAUUAAUUUAAAAUAACUUUCAUUUUAUCUGUAAUCGAAUGUGUUCCAUCCUACAGUUCCUCCUUUAAAACCCUUGCCUCACACUUGAAUUGCCAGGCAGGAGUUUAUUUUACUAACGUGAUUGUUUCUUUAAUCAACAUGACAAAAUAGUUUUGUCUUUUUUAUUUAUAAUACAGAGCUUAACUGUAGAGACCUACAUUUCGGUUGGAUAAAGGAGGGUACAUAAAUGAACCAAUAUCAAAAGCGUAUGUUGGUUGAUUGUUGUGGGUUUUUCCAUCUUCACACACACACACACUCGAGACCGGUGUAUGUCCUGGUUAAGACUAUCCGGGUCCCCACAUGGUCAACCCCUCCCCCACACCUAUACCCGCGCGCGCGUCUGGAGCUAAUGAUUGCAUCUCGUGACUCACUCACUGGACGAGCAGGAGCUGCAAACGCAGCAUCAAUCAGCGUGUUCGUUCUCCAAGGUAAGCUAAACACUUUUAUUUCAAAUGUAAUUCGUGUGUUAACAUCAUAACAAAUGCCACUACCAUAUAUUAUGGAGAAUGUUAAUAACAAAGCAGGCCUUGCUAGCGAUAAUUUUAACUUUGCAGUUUUCUGUCGAGUCGGGUUUAGUCAGUAUAAUGUUAGAUAACGUUAGUUUGCUAACGCGCCUAUACAUGUGCAAUGUAAAUGUAAACUAUUUAGCUAACUACCACUACCAAGCUAACCGACUUAUUAGCUAGGCACGAUUGAAGCUUAAUGCAUGCCAUACAUUUUAUUUAUUUAUUUAUUUAUUUAUUUUUGGGUGUGUUGUAUAAUUUAAUCACAAAUGUGAUUGAUAAUCGAUAAAUGUAUGUUUUUUAUGAUAUGCACACUACAGUAGUUAGCUUGUAUGUUAGGAUGGACUACUAUGACAAUUAGCAAGUUAAAUAGAGUAAGUAUAGGAUCAGUUGUCAUAGCACUUCCGCACUACAGCGUGGUUAGGUUGUAUGGCGGGAGAAAAGCUGCCAUCAGGGGUAACUUAGGUUUUCACUCAUGGAGAGAAGAACUUGGACCAAUCCAGGAUGCGGAGUACCAUAUCCAAGCGGGGAUUGAUAAACCAUGUCUCCAGCGUUUUAUCAAUAAUUUUAAAGUUGCAGGCCAGGAUUGACAAAUUAAAAACACCACAAUCGGUGUGAAACUCGGUAUGAAUCUACGGCUGAGAAGCGAAAUGCUCUUCAAAGACAGCGAACCUUACUCCUACUGCAAUUGGCAAACUUGGAUAAAAUGCUGGGCCCAGAAUCACAUCCAGUCACUUAAACAGCAGAAGAUUCUGUGAUACCCUCACCAACAGACACACAGGUAUGGUCAGAAAUUGACCAUGCAUCUCCAACCAGUGAAUGUGUACCACCACUGGAAAGAACGGAGUGUAUUUGUUGCCUUCCUUCACAACAUGGG